Molecule: ribosomal RNA, 492 nt
Filed under: uncultured bacterium
Lineage: Bacteria
Description: partial 16S ribosomal RNA
Rfam family: Bacterial small subunit ribosomal RNA
Source: RNAcentral
AGUGAACGCUGGCGGUAGGCCUAACACAUGCAAGUCGAACGGCAGCACAGUAAGAGCUUGCUCUUACGGGUGGCGAGUGGCGGACGGGUGAGGAAUACAUCGGAAUCUACUUUUUCGUGGGGGGUAACGUAGGGAAACUUACGCUAAUACCGCAUACGACCUACGGGUGAAGGCAGGGGAUCUUCGGACCUUGCGCGAUUGAAUGAGCCGAUGUCGGAUUAGCUAGUUGGCGGGGUAAAGGCCCACCAAGGCGACGAUCCGUAGCUGGUCUGAGAGGAUGAUCAGCCACACUGGAACUGAGACACGGUCCAGACUCCUACGGGAGGCAGCAGUGGGGAAUAUUGGACAAAGGGCGCAAGCCUGAUCCAGCCAUACCGCGUGGGUGAAGAAGGCCUUCGGGUUGUAAAGCCCUUUUGUUGGGAAAGAAAAGCAGCAGGUUAAUACCCCGCUGUUCUGACGGUACCCAAAGAAUAAGCACCGGCUAACUUCGUG